UACGAAGGGGGCUAGCGUUGCUCGGAAUCACUGGGCGUAAAGCGCACGUAGGCGGAUUGCUAAGUCAGGGGUGAAAUCCUGGAGCUCAACUCCAGAACUGCCCUUGAUACUGGCGGUCUCGAGUCCGGGAGAGGUGAGUGGAACUGCAAGUGUAGAGGUGAAAUUCGUAGAUAUUCGCAAGAACACCAGUGGCGAAGGCGGCUCACUGGCCCGGUACUGACGCUGAGGUGCGAAAGCGUGGGGAGCAAACAGG
Molecule: ribosomal RNA, 253 nt
Filed under: uncultured bacterium
Lineage: Bacteria
Description: partial 16S ribosomal RNA
Rfam family: Bacterial small subunit ribosomal RNA
Source: RNAcentral